Sinocyclocheilus anshuiensis is the source of this 115-nucleotide long non-coding RNA. RefSeq lists it as uncharacterized. The record is from RefSeq and is a predicted model, not a curated record. NCBI's taxonomy places the organism in Eukaryota, Metazoa, Chordata, Actinopteri, Cypriniformes, Cyprinidae. The transcript has 3 exons.
CAGACCGCCAACAAGGCUUCAUGCUGUGAUCCCAUUGUGUUUUCCACCUAAUAGCUCCCAGCCAUAGUCAUCUGCAGGCAUCUGUUUACAAAAAAAAUAAACAUUUGGCCAAGAU